GACGAACGCUGGCGGCGUGCUUAACACAUGCAAGUCGAACGGUGAAGCGCCUUCCUUUUUGGUGGGUGUGGAUGAGUGGCGAACGGGUGAGUAACACGUGAGUAACCUGCCCCCUUCUUCUGGAUAACCGCAUGAAAGUGUGGCUAAUACGGGAUAUUCUGGGUCUGUCGCAUGAUGGGUCUGGGAAAGAUAUUGUUUCGGUGGGGGAUGGGCUCGCGGCCUAUCAGCUUGUUGGUGGGGUGAUGGCCUACCAAGGCGGUGACGGGUAGCCGGCCUGAGAGGGUGGACGGCCACACUGGGACUGAGACACGGUCGAGACUCAGACGGGAGGCAGCAGUGGGGAAUAUUGCACAAUGGGCGCAAGCCUGAUGCAGCGACGCCGCGUGAGGGAUGGAGGCCUGCGGGUUGUGAACCUCUUUCGCCAGUGAAGCAGGCCUGCCUCGUUUGUGGGUGGGUUGACGGUAGCUGGAUAAGAAGCGCCGGCUAACUACGUG
This 494-nucleotide ribosomal RNA is filed under the name uncultured bacterium. Its description in RNAcentral is "partial 16S ribosomal RNA". It matches the Rfam family "Bacterial small subunit ribosomal RNA", at positions 28 to 507 of the family's 1533-position model. The record is from RNAcentral.